AAGGCUUCCCUAUUGUUGGCUGUCGAAGAAAAUCUGGCACAAGUAAAUGGUUUAGACACCAAAUGAAACAUCACUGACUUUCAUGAAUGAAUGCUCCAGUGCAUUUGCCGGGGAGAGAUCGGUUGUUUUAAUGUAGCCACUGAGGUAUGUCAUUACGUUUCUGUCGAUAGCGAAGGUGUUCAGAAAAUAAUCCCAGUCAUCAGCAACCAUAUCCAGAGGAAGUGAGACUAUAGAAGCUACCAAAACACCACAUUACCUCUCUUCACUGGCUCUGAAGAUAAGUCUGGGUGAAAAAGUUAGACAAAGGUUAAAAGCAGCAACUUGGAGAAAACUUUCAAGAAGAAUCAAGAUUGGAAUUCUGAAUAGUUUCAUCUUUUUUGUAGAAUAAUCGUUCGAUGCAAUCAAGGGCACAGUUUUGUUCGGGAAUUGGUGGAAAUGUGCAGAAGAAAAGGAUUCGUUUCUGGGGCUAUAGUGCUGCUAAUUGUGUAUAGUAUUUGGCAUUUAACGUUCCAUUACAUGAAAUGGUGAAAUGGCCAAAAUACACUUGUUUACAUUAGCAUUCUUUCAUUUUUUUUCCCAAGGCAGGAUUUUGCUGCAGAUCAAUCGUGUUAUGUACUUUAAUGUUACUGAUUACGUAUGUAAACUAUAGCCAUUAUCUUGAGGUUGAGCUGAUGCCAUUUUGGGAGAUA
Molecule: long non-coding RNA, 689 nt
Organism: Humulus lupulus (European hop)
Lineage: Eukaryota; Viridiplantae; Streptophyta; Magnoliopsida; Rosales; Cannabaceae
Exons: 2
Source: RefSeq, a predicted model, not a curated record